Molecule: RNA transcript, 1423 nt
Organism: Aptenodytes forsteri (emperor penguin)
Lineage: Eukaryota; Metazoa; Chordata; Aves; Sphenisciformes; Spheniscidae
Gene: SMPX
Gene name: small muscle protein, X-linked
Exons: 6
Source: RefSeq, a predicted model, not a curated record
AGAACAACUGGAAGCUAUGACAGGAAUUCCCUCUUACACUUUGCAUCUCAGCCGAGUCCCACUCCAGCCUGAAGCAGCUCUCAGUGCCGUCCGGGCUGAAAGCAUCGGAGCUAUUUCAGACACAUUAAAAGGAUCACAGUCAAUACCUCAGCUGGUAGAAGAAGGUACCUCUUUCAGCAUCGAAAGGAGGUGCACAUACUCACUUGACGGGAUAAGCCUCUGUCUUAAAAAUGUCAAAACAGCCAGCGUCACAUGUCAAAGCCAUUCAGGCUAAUAUUAACAUCCCAAUGGGAGCAUUUCGACCUGGUGCAGGCCACCCUCAUAAAAGAAAAGAACUUACACCUGAAGAAGUGGAAGAGAGUGUUCCUGCUUCGACAGAGGAGGAGAAAGACAAGAAACAUCUCCCAGGAGCUAAGAAACUUCCAGGUCCUGCUGUCAACUUGACAGAGAUUCAGAACAUAAAGAGCGAGCUGAAAUUUGUCCCCAAAGCUGAACAGUAGCCGGAACAAGCAGAGUGCAAACGCAUCAGCAAAAAUAAGGAACAUGCAAAAUGAGUUUCUGUGUUCAGAAGUAAAAAUUGAGUUCAUUGUCUCUAACAUGGCCUGCAGCUGUCCAUCGCGAACCCAGAGUUCUCUACCACCGACGAAAUGCUGUGGUAAGCCCCCAGCAUGUCAUUCCUCAGGCCUUUGCAAGUCAAGGAGAGGUUUCCUUCUCAUUCUCUUGUGGAAUGGUGGAAGUGAGGAGGAAAGCGUACUGGUCAGACUCUGCUUGCUAGAUGCCUAAGAAAGCUUGAAGGUAUGCAUUAGGAGGUCGAUUUUACCGAGUAAAGAACAGGUCAUGUUCUUAUGAGCAACAAAUGCUUCUACAUAAACUAGUUCGGAAAAGAUUGUGUUUUGUGGUUUUGAAAACUGACUAAUAACUUCAAAACAAACACUGAAAAAUCAGAAAACAUUUUGCUCCAAAGCAAACUAUGGGAAUGGAUACUUACAUUUUUUCAGAACAGAAAAUAUGCAAACAAAAGUCUUUUAUUUCCAAACUGUGUCUUCAAGCAGAGCAUUUUUAUUACUGGAAGAGACAAGCACAAAGUAAUAACUCAAAGAACUCUACUAAUUUUUAGAAUGUGAGCAUGUUAUUUACUCUUCUACCUUCACCAUAUUCAAGAGAGUUUACAGGCAUGUAGAGAUGAACAGGCCUCUACACACCAACAGAAGAAAUUUCUUCAUUGAACCUCUCACUUUGAAACGUUAAUGCCCUUAAAGUAAAAAAAUACUUCCCAUUUUAGCAAUGUGGUCCCACAUAUCUCUGCUCUGUUCUCGAGUGAGAAACAUCAGUUUCUGGGAGAAAGUUCCAAGUAUUUUGUUUGAAAGCUGAAAAUUCUCCUUUAAAAAAAAAAUUAAAAUUAAAUCACUGCUAUUUAAUAACU